Molecule: transfer RNA, 70 nt
Filed under: Samariscus latus (deep-body righteye flounder)
Lineage: Eukaryota; Metazoa; Chordata; Actinopteri; Pleuronectiformes; Samaridae
Description: tRNA-Trp
Rfam family: tRNA
About the family: Transfer RNA (tRNA) molecules are approximately 80 nucleotides in length.
Source: RNAcentral
AGGGACUUAGGAUAAUAUAGACCAAGAGCCUUCAAAGCUCCAAGUGAGAGUGAAAAUCUCUCAGACCCUG